GCGCAAUGGGCGGAAGCCUGACGCAGCGACGCCGCGUGGGGGAUGACGGCCUUCGGGUUGUAAACCUCUUUCAGCACCGACGAAGCUAACGUGACGGUAGGUGCAGAAGAAGCGCCGGCUAACUACGUGCCAGCAGCCGCGGUAAUACGUAGGGCGCAAGCGUUGUCCGGAAUUAUUGGGCGUAAAGAGCUCGUAGGCGGUUUGUCGCGUCUGUCGUGAAAGCCCACGGCUUAACCGUGGGUCUGCGGUGGAUACGGGCAGACUAGAGGCAGGUAGGGGAGAACGGAAUUCCCGGUGUAGCGGUGAAAUGCGCAGAUAUCGGGAGGAACACCGGUGGCGAAGGCGGUUCUCUGGGCCUGUACUGACGCUGAGGAGCGAAAGCGUGGGGAGCGAACAGGAUUAGAUACCCUGGUAGUCCACGCCGUAAACGUUGGGCGCUAGGUGUGGGGUUCUUCCACGGAUUCCGCGCCGUAGCUAACGCAUUAAGCGCCCCGCCUGGGGAGUACGGCCGCAAGGCUA
This 519-nucleotide ribosomal RNA is filed under the name uncultured Actinomycetes bacterium. RNAcentral's name for it is "bacterial SSU rRNA". It matches the Rfam family "Bacterial small subunit ribosomal RNA", at positions 366 to 896 of the family's 1533-position model. The record is from RNAcentral. Lineage: Bacteria; Bacillati; Actinomycetota; Actinomycetes.